GACGAACGCUGGCGGCGUGCUUAACACAUGCAAGUCGAACGGACAGGCCCUGCUCUUGUGGGGUGCUCGAGUGGCGAACGGGUGAGUAACACGUGAGUAUCCCGCCCUUGACUUUGGGAUAUCUUUAGGAAACUCGGGCUCUUACCGGAUAGGAGCUUCUGCUGCACGGUGGGGGUAGGAAAGAUACGGCGGUUGGGGAUUGACUCGAGGGUUAUCCGCUUGUUGGGGGGGUAGUGACUGACAAAGGCUUUGACGGGUAGCCGGCCUGAGCGGGUGACCGGCCACAAUGGGACUGAGAUACGGCCCAGACUCCAACGGGAGGCAGCAGUGGGGAGUAUUGCACAAUGGGCGGGAGCCUGAUGCAGCAACGCCGCGUGCGGGAUGACGGCCUUCGAGUGAUAAACCGCUUUCGCCUGUGACGAGGCGUGAGUGACGGUAAUGGGUAAAGAAGCACCGGCUAACUACGUG
RNAcentral lists this ribosomal RNA (468 nucleotides) under uncultured bacterium. RNAcentral describes it as "partial 16S ribosomal RNA". It matches the Rfam family "Bacterial small subunit ribosomal RNA", at positions 28 to 507 of the family's 1533-position model. The record is from RNAcentral.